Molecule: ribosomal RNA, 388 nt
Filed under: uncultured bacterium
Lineage: Bacteria
Description: bacterial SSU rRNA
Rfam family: Bacterial small subunit ribosomal RNA
Source: RNAcentral
GACGAACGCUGGCGGCGUGCUUAACACAUGCAAGUCGAGCGGUAAGGCCCUUUCGGGGGUACACGAGCGGCGAACGGGUGAGUAACACGUGGGUGACCUGCCCUCAGCUCUGGGAUAAGCCUGGGAAACCGGGUCUAAUACUGGAUAUGACUCCAUGACGCAUGUUGGUGGGGUGGAAAGCCUUGUGCGGCUGAGGAUGGGCCCGCGGCCUAUCAGCUUGUUGGUGGGGUGANGGCCUACCAAGGCGACGACGGGUAGCCGGCCUGAGAGGGCGACCGGCCACACUGGGACUGAGACACGGCCCAGACUCCUACGGGAGGCAGCGAGUGGGGGAAUCUUGCGCAAUGGGCGAAAGCCUGACGCAGCGACGCCGCGUGAGGGAUGACGG